CAAAAUAUAGCUAAACUAGUAAAGCAUCUCCCUUACACCGAGAAGAUACCCGUGCAACCCCAGUUAUUUUGA
This 72-nucleotide transfer RNA is filed under the name Narke japonica (Japanese sleeper ray). Its description in RNAcentral is "tRNA-Val". It matches the Rfam family "tRNA". Rfam says of the family: Transfer RNA (tRNA) molecules are approximately 80 nucleotides in length. Their secondary structure includes four short double-helical elements and three loops (D, anti-codon, and T loops). Further hydrogen bonds mediate the characteristic L-shaped molecular structure. tRNAs have two regions of fundamental functional importance: the anti-codon, which is responsible for specific mRNA codon recognition, and the 3' end, to which the tRNAs corresponding amino acid is attached (by aminoacyl-tRNA synthetases). tRNAs cope with the degeneracy of the genetic code in two manners: having more than one tRNA (with a specific anti-codon) for a particular amino acid; and 'wobble' base-pairing, i.e. permitting non-standard base-pairing at the 3rd anti-codon position. The record is from RNAcentral. Lineage: Eukaryota; Metazoa; Chordata; Chondrichthyes; Torpediniformes; Narkidae.